AUUGAACGCUGGCGGCAGGCCUAACACAUGCAAGUCGAGCGGAUGAAGGGAGCUUGCUCCUGGAUUCAGCGGCGGACGGGUGAGUAAUGCCUAGGAAUCUGCCUGGUAGUGGGGGAUAACGUCCGGAAACGGGCGCUAAUACCGCAUACGUCCUGAGGGAGAAAGUGGGGGAUCUUCGGACCUCACGCUAUCAGAUGAGCCUAGGUCGGAUUAGCUAGUUGGUGGGGUAAAGGCCUACCAAGGCGACGAUCCGUAACUGGUGUGAGAGAAUGAUCAGUCACACUGGAACUGAGAGACGGUCCAGACUCCUACGGGAGGCAGAAGUGGGGAAUAUUGGACAAUGGGCGAAAGCCUGAUCCAGCCAUGCCGCGUGUGUGAAGAAGGUCUUCGGAUUGUAAAGCACUUUAAGUUGGGAGGAAGGGCAGUAAGUUAAUACCCUGCUGUUUUGACGUUACCAACAGAAUAAGCACCGGCUAACUUCGUG
Molecule: ribosomal RNA, 484 nt
Filed under: uncultured bacterium
Lineage: Bacteria
Description: partial 16S ribosomal RNA
Rfam family: Bacterial small subunit ribosomal RNA
Source: RNAcentral